This 430-nucleotide ribosomal RNA is filed under the name bacterium. RNAcentral describes it as "bacterial SSU rRNA". It matches the Rfam family "Bacterial small subunit ribosomal RNA", at positions 354 to 776 of the family's 1533-position model. RNAcentral also lists the same sequence under 1 other name. The record is from RNAcentral.
GUAGGGAAUCUUCCACAAUGGACGCAAGUCUGAUGGAGCAACGCCGCGUGAGUGAAGAAGGUCUUCGGAUCGUAAAACUCUGUUGUUAGAGAAGAACACGAGUGAGAGUAACUGUUCAUUCGAUGACGGUAUCUAACCAGCAAGUCACGGCUAACUACGUGCCAGCAGCCGCGGUAAUACGUAGGUGGCAAGCGUUGUCCGGAUUUAUUGGGCGUAAAGGGAACGCAGGCGGUCUUUUAAGUCUGAUGUGAAAGCCUUCGGCUUAACCGGAGUAGUGCAUUGGAAACUGGAAGACUUGAGUGCAGAAGAGGAGAGUGGAACUCCAUGUGUAGCGGUGAAAUGCGUAGAUAUAUGGAAGAACACCAGUGGCGAAAGCGGCUCUCUGGUCUGUAACUGACGCUGAGGUUCGAAAGCGUGGGUAGCAAACAGG